RNAcentral lists this ribosomal RNA (418 nucleotides) under uncultured Oscillospiraceae bacterium. RNAcentral describes it as "bacterial SSU rRNA". It matches the Rfam family "Bacterial small subunit ribosomal RNA", at positions 349 to 782 of the family's 1533-position model. The record is from RNAcentral. Lineage: Bacteria; Bacillati; Bacillota; Clostridia; Eubacteriales; Oscillospiraceae.
CAGCAGUGGGGAAUAUUGGGCAAUGGGCGGAAGCCUGACCCAGCAACGCCGCGUGAAGGAAGAAGGCUUUCGGGUUGUAAACUUCUUUUCUCAGGGACGAAUAGAUGACGGUACCUGAGGAAUAAGCCACGGCUAACUACGUGCCAGCAGCCGCGGUAAUACGUAGGUGGCAAGCGUUAUCCGGAUUUACUGGGUGUAAAGGGCGUGUAGGCGGGGACGCAAGUCAGAUGUGAAAACCACGGGCUCAACCUGUGGCCUGCAUUUGAAACUGUGUUUCUUGAGUACUGGAGAGGCAGACGGAAUUCCUAGUGUAGCGGUGAAAUGCGUAGAUAUUAGGAGGAACACCAGUGGCGAAGGCGGUCUGCUGGACAGCAACUGACGCUGAGGCGCGAAAGCGUGGGGAGCAAACAGGAUUAGA